UGGGGAAUAUUGGACAAUGGGCGAAAGCCUGAUCCAGCAAUGCCGCGUGAGUGAUGAAGGCCUUCGGGUUGUAAAGCUCUUUUGCCCGGGAAGAUAAUGACUGUACCGGGAGAAUAAGCCCCGGCUAACUUCGUGCCAGCAGCCGCGGUAAUACGAAGGGGGCUAGCGUUGUUCGGAAUUACUGGGCGUAAAGCGCACGUAGGCGGCUAUUCAAGUCAGAGGUGAAAGCCUGGAGCUUAACUCCAGAACUGCCUUUGAAACUAGGUAGCUUGAACACGGGAGAGGUAAGUGGAAUUCCGAGUGUAGAGGUGAAAUUCGUAGAUAUUCGGAAGAACACCAGUGGCGAAGGCGACUUACUGGACCGUAGUUGACGCUGAGGUGCGAAAGCGUGGGGAGCAAA
Molecule: ribosomal RNA, 400 nt
Filed under: uncultured bacterium
Lineage: Bacteria
Description: bacterial SSU rRNA
Rfam family: Bacterial small subunit ribosomal RNA
Source: RNAcentral